This 2928-nucleotide long non-coding RNA is filed under the name Aquilegia coerulea. RNAcentral's name for it is "long non-coding RNA (ACOE_LNC001618)". Lineage: Eukaryota; Viridiplantae; Streptophyta; Magnoliopsida; Ranunculales; Ranunculaceae. The record is from RNAcentral.
GACGGAUUGAUUUUGUAUUAGGUGCAAAGGGAACCAGUUAGCCAAUUCCUAGGCUGAUUUUGUAAGUAAUUAGGAAUGAAAGAUUAAACUUUUUUGGUAUUUAGGCUUGAUGGAGUUUGUUAUAGAACUUAUAGUUUGUUGAUUUGGUUUUAAUUGGUGAAGAAUUUGUUGACAACCAGCCUAGGAAGGAUCAUUCAGUGAUGCUUGCAACACAGAACUGGAAGAAGCACAACCGGCUUACCAAGUUUCUCCGAAUCACAACCAGUCCUAUCAUGAACAAAGUAGAGAUGUCUGUUGAAUGGUCAUUGCUUUUUCAAAGAAGGUAAAUUAUGGACCCAAAUUUUCAUUUUCAAAUUAGAAAUUUUAUGAUUAGUGUGAUUGAAGAGAUAUUGGAUGUAGUCAACUAUAGUACAAAUGAAUGGAAAGAUAAAAAAUGAGUAGUCUGAAUGCUGAGCUUUUUCUUUGUUGUUUUUUCUCUCAAAUGGUGGCUGAUUAGACAAACAGAUAUUUUAUCAUUCUAUAAAAAAUUAAGAGUUUGGGAUUUAAUUCUCCAUGUUCACUUGUUCCUGCGUUGCCUUGCUCUGAACCUGCAUGUAUGAAUGUGCCAUUAAAGUUCAGAAAUCCUAUAUUCAGUUGGGCUUGUGAAUCUGAUGUCAAAAAUUUAAUUCCAGAUUUGGUGCUUGUGCAGGAAUAACAUAUAGUUUUAUUAUGAGGUGUGCCUUUAAUACACUUUUUUUUUUCAAAUUGAUAAUAGACUUUAGUGCAUUAUUAAUGACAAGCUAAUAGAAACUUUUUGUCAGUUUUGGAUUUUUGACUAGUUUUUAUAACAGGGUAUGUUUGAAAUGUUUACCACGGAAUUCGGUUGGGCACUAUCAUAAAAUCCUCUAGCUUAUUAAUUAACGGGAUCAUGAUGAGCUAGUGUUCUUGGAAACACAAGAAAAACAAGGAGCCUUACAAAAGAAAGCCGUUUAUUUGAUGUCCAGUUGUCCACCCUAAAUGGUAAUAAAAUUCUGGUACAUUAAGAACCUUUUUAUAUAUUGAUAUGGAUUUUAUAAACUGUCAUGGAUUGCGAUGGAAAUUCAGUUUACGCAUUGCUUUAUGUGGUCAUUGCAUGAUAACCUGGUUUUGCCUUGUAUAUAUAUGUACUUAGGUGUGCAGGUUUUUCACACCAUAUUAGUAUACAUCACUGAAAAAAAAACCAAGUAUUGAGUGAAACUGAAAAUUUGAACCUACAUUUGCAUUUUUGAGUUUGGAUUUUAUCAUGCACAAGAUAUUGAUCUCCAAGGCAUUGUACAGGUGUGCCUGAGCUUUGAGUGAAAAUUUGAACCUACAUUUGCGUUUUUGAGAAUUUAUUUGAGGCAUUGUACAGGUGGAUAUUGAUCUCCAAAGCAUUGUGUACAUGUGGAUCCUCAUUGUAGGUAAUUAAUUUAUUUGCAAUUUUAUUUAUUUGAGGCUUUGAAUUGCUUUCAUGUUGUUGUUUUGGGAAACCCUUCUGGUUCUUGGAUGUAUGCCCUUUUUGAUUUAACUGAAAUUAUGGUAACUUCAGAGUUGAUUGCAGAACUACCACUGAGUGAAGAAUAUAAUAAUGGAAUUAUGUUAACUGUAAGAAUUUAACUUUAUGUAGUAUUGAUCAUGCAGAUGCUUUGAGUACAUAGAAGAAAUGAUUUAUAAACAGGAUCCUAUUAUUAUUAUUAAUGUCCUGCUGCUUCUCGUACUAUUUUCCAUUACAAAUUCAGGGCUACAUAAGAAACACUUUGAAUAUUUGAGGUAUGAUUUGCCCCUUUUCCCGUUUUCACUUUUGACUACUGGAUUUCAUAGUUUAAUUGUUCUUAGCUUGUGUCAUAUUAUAUUUUAUUGGUUUAGGAGAGAGUUGCUUCGUAGCCAUGGUUUUGAGCACAUCGCUAUUGUGUAUGUAUAUACAUAUCGAGCUCACCCGAGCUCAAGCCUAUUUUCAACGAUUUGGCCCGCCCGACAUACAAUACAAGUCAUAAUCCAACGUGGCCCAACUUGAUGACUCAUUAGCUUGUGUGGCGCUUAUGUGGCAAUUCCUACUAUUGCCAACAAUUACAAGAUCAAUGCCAAAUACAUUCUCUUUAUUAUAUGUUCGUUAUUUUUCGUUACAAUAUAAUAUAAAUGUGAUUUAUAUCACACAUGUGUUCAAUUGUAAUUCUCUAUCUAUAUAAAGGGAUCUAUAUCAUGUAAAGAGAGACUCGUGUUCUCUUCUUUCAUCUCUACUCAAUAAUAAUACACUCAUCUCUCCCGUGGACGUAGGCACCAUUGCCGAACCACGUAAAAUCAUGUGUCUACUUAUAUUUUGCAAUCUUCAUUCCGAAUUAUUCUUUUUUAUGUAAUGUGUUUAUAGCUACACUGAAUAAUUUGAAAAAAGUUGUAUUGUUUAAGAAACAAUUGCAGUCACAUCUUACCCAAAAUUCAAUUUAGUGUCUUUUAGAAAUCACUCUCAUCGUUCAUAUGGAAUACAAAUGUUUCUUACUUGCAUAUCAAUAGGCUUUUGGUACUGAUUAAAUGCUAUGAAUGACAAUGGUGUAUGUAAAGCUUUCUUACAUUGUUUUGCAGCUAAAAUGGGGUCUCAAGUCAUGGUUCCUUUUUGAGGCUCUGAAGAUGAUCCCUUGUGAUUGGCAUCUCAAAGUGUGGAGUACUCAAAUGAGGAGGUAGUGGCAAAAAUUAAAGCUAUAGUCUGGGCAUAGAUUUAUUUAAGCAAGGAGAAUAUGCAUCACAAGAGAGGGCACAAUAUGAACUAAGACAAAGAUGUGACAACAUGUUCAGAUGAUGUUUCAGCGGGAGUAGCCUGAAAAUAGCAGUGGACUUAGCUUCAUGUGACAACAUGUUCAAAUCAUUUUUCAAACUUUUUUAGUUAUAAUCUAGAUUAAACUCAAGAAAAUCCAAUUUAUUGUUAGAAGAGACCAUCAG